Molecule: ribosomal RNA, 554 nt
Filed under: uncultured bacterium
Lineage: Bacteria
Description: bacterial SSU rRNA
Rfam family: Bacterial small subunit ribosomal RNA
Source: RNAcentral
CCUACGGGAGGCAGCAGUAGGGAAUAUUGGGCAAUGGAGGCAACUCUGACCCAGCCAUGCCGCGUGAACGAAGAAGGCGCUAUGCGUCGUAAAGUUCUUUUAGAGGGGCGAAAACACUUGAUUCAUCAAGUACUGACGGUACCUUCGGAAUAAGCACCGGCUAACUCUGUGCCAGCAGCCGCGGUAAUACAGAGGGUGCAAGCGUUAUCCGGAAUCACUGGGUUUAAAGGGUGCGUAGGCGGGAUUAUAAGUCAGAGGUGAAAUCUCGUCGCUUAACGACGGAAUUGCCUUUGAUACUGUUUUCUUGAAAUUUGUUGAGGUUGGCGGAAUGAGACAUGUAGCGGUGAAAUGCUUAGAUAUGUCUUAGAACACCGAUUGCGAAGGCAGCUGACUGGACAAUUAUUGACGCUGAGCACGAAGCGUGGGAUCAAACAGGUAUUAGACUACCCGUGGUACGUCCGUACCGACCCGUAACCGUAACGUAGUUUACGUUUACGUCGUUGUUUAGUUUUUACGGUUAACGUUAGUAGGUGGUACGGAACGACGGAACGACG